This is a long non-coding RNA of Xiphophorus hellerii (green swordtail), 191 nucleotides long. RefSeq lists it as uncharacterized. The transcript is spliced from 3 exons. NCBI's taxonomy places the organism in Eukaryota, Metazoa, Chordata, Actinopteri, Cyprinodontiformes, Poeciliidae. The record is from RefSeq and is a predicted model, not a curated record.
UCAUCUCCUUUCACUGCUCCAUCUGAGCUUUCUCCCAUUGAGCUGAAUACCUCUGGCAGAAUUUCUAACGAACCAAUCAGCGAACAGAAGGAGGAGCUGUGAACGAUGAUGUCAGUGUUCUGCACUGUUUCAGAAUCAUAGUGUGCCUGUGGUUUUAGCGAUGGCAGCGGAGGAACAAAGUUGUCCAGGUU